CUGAAGUGAGUCUUCAUUCAUUGAAGCUUCUUCCCAUUGUGCUGGCUUUGACCGUAUGUAAUGUUGGGGAUUAAACAUGGUUGAGAGAAAUCUUGGCCGUCCCCAACAAAUUAUCUUAUCCUUUAUUAAAUUGAACUGAACUCAUUUUGAGAUUACAUAAAAAAAAUAA
RNAcentral lists this unclassified non-coding RNA (169 nucleotides) under Umbelopsis ramanniana. Lineage: Eukaryota; Fungi; Mucoromycota; Umbelopsidomycetes; Umbelopsidales; Umbelopsidaceae. The record is from RNAcentral.